CACCUCUCAUGCAGCCACAGGGGACCAAGCUGCCAGCACAUGAAUACUUGGGGGACAGAUCCCAACCCUGGUACAAGGGAAGUCGAAGCAGCAAGUUCAUGAACAAGCCUGAGGAGUGUGCCAGGCUGACCUCGGGCACAAGUGAGCACAGGACACAGGGAAGGGCAAAGGACGCCAGAGGACCAGGAAGGUGCCAGACCAGACACCACGGGGCCGAGAACAGUUGAGAAGUGUGGACACCAUCUUGGCCAGGUGUGAAUCCAUCCCAUUUCCCUGGCCUAGCUCAGCAUUCUUCACAUUAUGUAUUUAUUUUGCAGUACGAGGGCCUCACACACAUCAGACAGGGGUUCUGCCAUUCCACUGUAUCCCCAGCCCAAGAUCAGAUUUUUAAAGUCCUCAGCCUCCUGAGUAGCUGGGACCACAGGUGUGCACCACGGCACCUGGCUCAACCCCGGAUUUCUCUGCAGUCUAGCCCCACACUGGCUCAGCCAGUAGAGGCCCAGCCCAAGCCCUCAUCCUCAACCCUCAUGUGGACACCAGAACAGCCCAGCACAGCCUUUGUCCACGGGCCCCAAUAUGAGGGCAGGUGGGAAUCUGUGCUCCUUCUAGAUCUCAUUGAACUGUGCCCCCGGGCAGUCUUGGGUACAGUGUGCCCCUGGGCAGUCUUGGGUACACUGUGACUGGCUGAGUUUCUGUUCUGCAGCUGCCUCUGGACGUCUUAUUCUAGGCUAGAGGUCAGCAAAUUCUUGCUGUAAAGGGACACAUAGUAAAUACUUUAGGCCUUAGGGGGCCAUCCACAUUUCUGUCAAAUUAUUCAACUCUGCUCCUGUAGCUCAGAGCAGACACAGAGGGCUGGGGAUGUAGCUUGGUAAAGCACCCCCUGGGUUCACUCUCUAGUUUAAAAAAAAAAAAAAGAGUACAUGUAGAGUACUUACGUAGGGCCUGAUCUGAGGAAAGCACAAUCACUGUUUGCUAUUAUUUUUACUUAUUAUCAAUUGUGUUAAACCGAAACUCUUGAGACUGAGGGUUUUCUGAAAGAGUUCACUGAACUAUUACGAUGCUAGCCAGAAAAAGACCAGGUCCUGGGACAAAUUUCUUCAAAGUUCCAGCAGCAAGGUUAGGUAGCAGAUGGAAAAUGUCUCAGAACCAGAGCCAAGCGUACUUCUCAAUAAUGAAGAUUUGGGGAAGUCAGAAGUUGUUUACACUGAUCCUAUGCUGGCCGUAGAUGGAAUGCAGAGGCAGGGAGCUUUGGGAUGGGAGGACAGUCCACAGGCAGAGGUUACCGUCUUUGGAUUGAUCAGGGUUAGUGUCUAAAAAUUUACCUGUAAACAGGGCUCCCCUGCCCUGGUGAUGAGAUUUAGGAGAAGGUUUCAGCAUAAAUGAUCUUUUUGAUGGUUUCUUAUUCAGCUGUUUGUGGUGCUGGGGAUUGAACCCAGGGCCUAAUGAUGGAGGCAAGCACUCU
This 1462-nucleotide long non-coding RNA is filed under the name Marmota monax (woodchuck). The record is from RNAcentral. Lineage: Eukaryota; Metazoa; Chordata; Mammalia; Rodentia; Sciuridae.